ACAAGACUCACCAACUUGAACCAUUAAACAGCAACAACCAAAUAACAGAGCAGCUCAAGGAACAAUUCAUAACUAAUGCUAUACAGAUCCAACAAAAAUGAAUGAGGACAUUCUGGAAAGUUUAUGAAAUUGUUUACAUUUCAUCUUUAGACCUCACAGCAAGAUUCACAAGGUAAACAGGUCAACUAAACAAAGUUUCAGGUUCCGUUCCAGAAAAAACAGAGAGCACCUAGUUCUGGAACUCAAAUUAAAAGAGCCAUAACUUUUAAACUACUGGAC
Molecule: long non-coding RNA, 279 nt
Filed under: Sorghum bicolor (sorghum)
Lineage: Eukaryota; Viridiplantae; Streptophyta; Magnoliopsida; Poales; Poaceae
Description: long non-coding RNA (SBIC_LNC014053)
Source: RNAcentral